Molecule: non-coding RNA, 109 nt
Organism: Stereum hirsutum FP-91666 SS1
Lineage: Eukaryota; Fungi; Basidiomycota; Agaricomycetes; Russulales; Stereaceae
Source: the annotation of a RefSeq genome assembly
AGCUCGAUAGCGCAACGGUAGCGCGUCUGUUCUCUAUUGUACAUAGAUCGGAGUGGAUUUGAUUGUUAUUGUUGACGGAAGAUCUCGGUUUGACUCCGAGUCCGGGCUA